AUGCAGUCGAGCGGAUGAGUGGAGCUUGCUCCAUGAUUCAGCGGCGGACGGGUGAGUAAUGCCUAAGAAUCUGCCUGGUAGUGGGGGACAACGUUUCGAAAGGAACGCUAAUACCGCAUACGUCCUACAGGAGAAAGUGGGGGAUCUUCGGACCUCACGCUAUCAGAUGACCCUAGGUCAGAUUAUCUAUUUGGUGAGGUAAAGGCUCACCAAGGCGACUAUCCGUAACUGGUCUGAGAGGAUGAUCACUCACACUGGAACUGACACACGGUCCACACUCCUACGGGAGGCAGCAGUGGGGAAUAUUGGACAAUGGGCGAAAGCCUGAUCCAGCCAUGCCGCGUGUGUGAAGAAGGUCUUCGGAUUGUAAAGCACUUUAAGUUGGGAGGAAGGGCACUAAGUUAAUACCUUGCUGUUUUGACGUUACCAACAGAAUAAGCACCGGCUAACUUCGUGCCAGCACCCGCGGUAAUACAAAGGGUGCAAGCGUUAAUCGGAAUUACUGGG
Molecule: ribosomal RNA, 507 nt
Filed under: Pseudomonas sp. JC258
Lineage: Bacteria; Pseudomonadati; Pseudomonadota; Gammaproteobacteria; Pseudomonadales; Pseudomonadaceae
Description: bacterial SSU rRNA
Rfam family: Bacterial small subunit ribosomal RNA
Source: RNAcentral